RNAcentral lists this ribosomal RNA (512 nucleotides) under uncultured bacterium. RNAcentral describes it as "partial 16S ribosomal RNA". It matches the Rfam family "Bacterial small subunit ribosomal RNA", at positions 28 to 523 of the family's 1533-position model. The record is from RNAcentral.
GACGAACGCUGGCGGCGUGCCUAAUACAUGCAAGUCGAGCGAAUGGAAGGGAGCUUGCUCCCUGAAGUUAGCGGCGGACGGGUGAGUAACACGUGGGCAACCUGCCUGUAAGACUGGGAUAACUUCGGGAAACCGGAGCUAAUACCGGAUACGUUCUUUUCUCGCAUGAGGAAAGAUGGAAAGAUGGUUUCGGCUAUCACUUACAGAUGGGCCCGCGGCGCAUUAGCUAGUUGGUGGGGUAAUGGCCCACCAAGGCGACGAUGCGUAGCCGACCUGAGAGGGUGAUCGGCCACACUGGGACUGAGACACGGCCCAGACUCCUACGGGAGGCAGCAGUAGGGAAUCUUCCGCAAUGGACGAAAGUCUGACGGAGCAACGCCGCGUGAGCGAAGAGGGCCUUCGGGUCGUAAAGCUCUGUUGUCAGGGAAGAACAAGUGCCAGAGUAACUGCUGGCACCUUGACGGUACCUGACCAGAAAGCCACGGCUAACUACGUGCCAGCCGCCGCCGUAA